CAGUCGCCGCGGGAAUACGGAGGGUGCAAGCGUUAAUCGGAAUUACUGGGCGUAAAGCGCACGCAGGCGGUUUGUUAAGUCAGAUGUGAAAUCCCUGAGCUUAACUUAGGAAUUGCAUUCGAUACUGGGAAGCUAGAGUAUGGGAGAGGAUGGUAGAAUUCCAGGUGUAGCGGUGAAAUGCGUAGAGAUCUGGAGGAAUACCGAUGGCGAAGGCAGCCAUCUGGCCUAAUACUGACGCUGAGGUACGAAAGCAUGGGGAGCAAACAGGAUUAGAUACCCGUGUAGUCCCUGUCUCUUAUAA
RNAcentral lists this ribosomal RNA (301 nucleotides) under uncultured bacterium. Its description in RNAcentral is "partial 16S ribosomal RNA". It matches the Rfam family "Bacterial small subunit ribosomal RNA", at positions 509 to 809 of the family's 1533-position model. The record is from RNAcentral.